GUGAACAAGUCAAUCGAUCGACGUGACUAGUUUCAUUCCAAUUCCUUUCAGUCUCCUAGGUAGCAAAAUUAAUUUUUCAGACUUCCGACUGUUUCCAGAACUCUUCGCAUCCGCAAGCUUGCACGCUUUCCAUAAGUAACAUUUUGUCGAGCGGAAGGAGUGUUGAGCAGGGAAGAAGAAAGGUGUGAAAGGUAUGAAAAAGGUUGGCAGUUUAUCAGUCGGAAAUAUGUUUAGAUGUAUGCAUGAGGCUUCAAUGAUGUGAAACGAUCGAUGCAUUUCAAAACCAAAGGGUAUACAAAAAAAUCAAAACUCAUUGUUUAAAUCAACCAUUACUUGUUGAGAAUAGUUUUAAUUUCAUCUGUUUCCUUUUGAUAUACUAUUUUUUUUUAUUUCAAUAUUCUGUUCAUUGUGAUGCAAAGGGCUACCAAUAUUUUUCCAUGUUUUCCAUGCUCCUUAGCUCCCUUACUUCCUUACUUGGCCUUGUAAACAAAAACUUAUCGAGCUACUUUGAUCCUUCUAAUUCACUGGUAUAUGCUAUUUUCCCUUAGUGUGUAUUUAAAACAUUCUCCUAACAAAAAUAUAGCGAUUCCUUAUUGAAGGCAUCUUUAUGUAAGCUACGCAGUUUGGUAUCUGAUUUAAGGAUACGUAGAACUGCGGUGAGUUUUCCUUGUGAUCUAUUAUAUUACAAUACACAGGUUGUAUAAGUAGCAACUGAGUAUAGGUAUUGUAUUAACUGGGUUAU
Non-coding RNA from Schizosaccharomyces pombe (fission yeast), 742 nucleotides. The record is from the annotation of a GenBank genome assembly. Lineage: Eukaryota; Fungi; Ascomycota; Schizosaccharomycetes; Schizosaccharomycetales; Schizosaccharomycetaceae.